AGAAAUCUUAGCUAAUACCGCAUAAUACCUACGGGUCAAAGCAGCAAUGCGCUUGAAGAGGAGUUCGCGGCAGAUUAGUUAGUUGGCGGGGUAAUGGCCCACCAAGACGAUGAUCUGUAUCCGGCCUGAGAGGGCGCACGGACACACUGGAACUGAAACACGGUCCAGACUCCUACGGGAGGCAGCAGUGGGGAAUUUUGCGCAAUGGGGGAAACCCUGACGCAGCAACGCCGCGUGGAGGAUGAAAUAUCUUGGUAUGUAAACUCCUUUCGAUGGGGAAGAUAAUGACGGUACCCAUAGAAGAAGCCCCGGCUAACUUCGUGCCAGCAGCCGCGGUAAUACGAGGGGGGCAAGCGUUGUUCGGAAUUAUUGGGCGUAAAGGGUGCGUAGGCGGUUUGAUAAGUUUGAUGUGAAAUCUAUGGGCUCAACCCAUAGUCUGCAUCGAAAACUGUCGGGCUUGAGU
RNAcentral lists this ribosomal RNA (463 nucleotides) under Granulicella sp. S1-5. RNAcentral describes it as "bacterial SSU rRNA". It matches the Rfam family "Bacterial small subunit ribosomal RNA", at positions 152 to 647 of the family's 1533-position model. The record is from RNAcentral. Lineage: Bacteria; Pseudomonadati; Acidobacteriota; Terriglobia; Terriglobales; Acidobacteriaceae.